Molecule: long non-coding RNA, 1192 nt
Filed under: Struthio camelus australis
Lineage: Eukaryota; Metazoa; Chordata; Aves; Struthioniformes; Struthionidae
Description: lncRNA (ENSSCUG00000004677.1)
Source: RNAcentral
AUGCAAAAGAGGAAAAGCCACCAAGCAAGACACAGUAUUCUCCUUCAGCUGAGAAAGGGGCCAACUUCUGUUUCCAGACGUAGGCUUUCAGAGGUCGUGGGUGAAGGCAAGCGCUCUGUCGGAUGUCGUGCUUUUGGGGACUUGGACUUCUCCCCGGCUGUUUCUGGCUGGCACCAGACUGAUCCAGUCACUUCACAAGUGUGGCGGUAACACAAGAUGUGCAUUUUAAGAGCCAUGUAAAAUGGUAAGAGCCACUAACUUACUUGCAUGAUAAAUGUUGCUGAUACCCUGAGCCUGCGCAUCAUGAACAGAAGCUGGUAUUUUUAGCAGACGGAGUGCGGAGCUUUCUACGGGAAGGGCAGCGUUAAGCAAGGUGAGCUGGUGCGUGUGUUUGCAUCUGCAGUCCUGUUCUAGAGCGUUUCUAGAGGUCGUUGGUAGGCAGUCUGCAGGCUGACGUUACAGGUGGUUUUAUUCCACAAAAUCGGUAUUUGGGUGACAGGGAAACUUCAGAACUGUGCCUCGUUUCAGAGACUAGCAGGGGCGGAAUAGCUGCAUAAAAUCUUCUAAUUAGAAGCAGCAGCUGAGCUGUUGGGACUUGUGAGCUGCCACUAAAAUGCUGAUUACUUUGACGUGCGAGAAUGUCUGGAAGAGCCUCUUGAUCAGAAAUUGCAAAGGUUUCUCCUGUUGGAAUCAGCUUAUUGGGAUAUAUUUGUGUCCAGAGUAGCUAAUCCAUAAGUUGCUGAGUUUCCAGCACUGGGGUAGAAAACCUGCUGUCUUCCUGCCAGAACGUGCAGGUGUUUGGGUCACCUGGGAGCACAGAAGGUGAUUUGGUAGAUGCUGCCAAACUACAAGAAUAAUUUUGGGAGAAAAAACACAGCCUCUGGUCACCAAAAAGCCUAUUACUUACCUGGUUUUGAUGAUUUUUACAUUUCUGCGUUGAUAUUCAUAACUUGCAGAUUGUUAACGGGUGUUUUGUUCAAGCCUGCCAAUUAGCAUGGGCAGCUCUUCUGAAGUGGUGAGCGUAAAUGAGAAAGAGACGGCCUUUCUAUAACUGAGAAGGAGAAAUACUUAAAGCUUCAAUCAGUACCUUGAUGUUACCGAGGUCUUUUCGCUUCCAGUGCUCUAACGUGAGUGAGCAGAUGAUAUCAAAACGGGUCAUGCUGCUUCCGGUAGACCAGAGUGGGAUGCACAU